Molecule: ribosomal RNA, 292 nt
Filed under: uncultured bacterium
Lineage: Bacteria
Description: partial 16S ribosomal RNA
Rfam family: Bacterial small subunit ribosomal RNA
Source: RNAcentral
GUGCCAGCAGCCGCGGUAAUACGAAGGGCCCGAGCGUUGCGCGGAAUCACUGGGCUUAAAGCGUGCGUAGGCGGACAAGAAGGCGCUUUGUGAAAUCCCCCGGCUCAACCGGGGAAUUGCUUGGCGAACCGCUUGUCUUGAGGCAAGUAGGGGCUGUCGGAACGAUAGGUGGAGCGGUGAAAUGCGUUGAUAUCUAUCGGAACGCCCAAGGCGAAGGCAGGCAGCUGGGCUUGUUCUGACGCUGAGGCACGAAAGCGUGGGGAGCGAACGGGAUUAGAAACCCCUGUAGUCC